GACGAACGCUGGCGGCGUGCUUAACACAUGCAAGUCGAACGGAAAGGCCCUGCUUUUGUGGGGUGCUCGAGUGGCGAACGGGUGAGUAACACGUGAGUAACCUGCCCUUGACUUUGGGAUAACUUCAGGAAACUGGGGCUAAUACCGGAUAGGAGCUCCUGCUGCAUGGUGGGGGUUGGAAAGUUUCGGCGGUUGGGGAUGGACUCGCGGCUUAUCAGCUUGUUGGUGGGGUAGUGGCUUACCAAGGCUUUGACGGGUAGCCGGCCUGAGAGGGUGACCGGCCCCAUUGGGCUUGGGAUACGGCCCCGCCCCCUAGGGGGGGCAGCAGGGGGGAAUUUUGCAAAAUGGGCGGAAGCCUGAUGCAGCAACGCCGGGGGGGGGAUGCCGGCCUUCGGGUUGUAAACCCUUUUCCCCUUGGACGAAGCGGGGGUGGCGGUAAUGGGUAAAGAAGCACCGGCUAACUCCGU
Molecule: ribosomal RNA, 467 nt
Filed under: uncultured bacterium
Lineage: Bacteria
Description: partial 16S ribosomal RNA
Rfam family: Bacterial small subunit ribosomal RNA
Source: RNAcentral